Non-coding RNA from Meleagris gallopavo (turkey), 1884 nucleotides. Lineage: Eukaryota; Metazoa; Chordata; Aves; Galliformes; Phasianidae. The record is from RefSeq and is a predicted model, not a curated record.
AUACUACAAAAUAUUUAUGGAAAUUGCAGGAUACCAUAGAGAGUAGAUAACUUGAGGUAUAUUGAAACCAAACUUAGGAACCAUGUAUACUGUAUAGAUGAUAGAUAUAUCCUCAUCAGAGAAUGUCUAUAUUUCAAAAUUCUGACUUCCUUCUUACAGCAGUUGUUGAUGUUUGGAAAGUUGCUCAAAUAAUUAAUUUAAAAAAAAAUUUUUUACUGAAGCAGUCAGUCAGUAUCUCCUAUGUAGGUACAUAUUAAAGUUGCGAAAAAAAGUUGUGGUGUCUAUUCUUUUUCUUGUCUGCUAAUAGGACUUUUCGAAGAUAGUUCAGGAAUAUAUAAACUGUCAUAAUAAAGCUUCAGAAAAGAAUUUAACCUUAGUUUUUAUAAUUUUGGCACGAGUCUUUUGCAAAACUCUCUAAGAUACAUAUCAGUAUUAGUUAAUGGUAGAUAAUAGGCAACUUGAACUUAAUUUUAAUGAAAAGUUACCAAACCUUACUGUUUUUUAGAUGAAUGGGUAAGCAGAUGUUUUCAUUGUUUAAAAUUUGAAGGCAUUUUAUUCUAGCUCUCUUAGAUCUUAUGCACUUGUGAAUUAAUAACCUAAACUUUCUUCCUAUCUUUUCAUAUGCAGGCAGAAGGAGAAGACAGCCUUAAAAAGAUGCAGCUGAUGGAGCUUGCAAUUCUGAAUGGCACCUACAGAGAUGCCAACAUCAAAUCACUGUUACGUUUUUUCCAGCAAUUCAACUGAUUUCACUCCUGAGUUCACAGGGAUCAGUGAUGUAAUGAGCCAUUUUUACAAUUUCUUCCAUUAGAUUUGCGUGAGAAUGCUUUUGUAAACACAUGUAUGUGCACGUUUACACUUUAAAAUUAAUUAUAUACACCAACUAAUGACAGCAUAUGUAUGUAUAUUAUGUGUGACACAAACUAUUUUCUCUAGUUUAAAAUCUAAUUUCUGCUUCUGAAAACGUAAUUUCUGAUGCUCUUCCAAAGUGAACUUUUGCUGUAGCUACGAUACCGAUAUCAAAUGUAGGGACAGUGAAGUCAGUUUUUUCACUAAGGGCCUACUGAUAUUUGCAAAUUUGUUUCUCCACAUAAACUCCAUUUCAAUGUUGAAUAUGCUUAAAGGUUGGAAUGCAGUUAGGUCAAUUUGAGAGCAUUUACACCAGUGUAAUUAUUCUGAUUGGAAAGGGUACAUAAGCAAGGGCUUUCAACACCACAGUGCUGGUGAUAAUUCUACACCUUCUAAUUAAUACCAUAAUAUCUAAAGCUAGCUCAGUUUUAAACCUGUUAGAGUCCUCAAUUUACUGCAAAUUUAUGAGUAAAAUAACUUUUAGAUUAGUUUAAAUUGGUGCAAAUUGUUGCAUAGAAACCUUUAUAUUAAUUUGAGUAAUUUCUUUGUCUGCUCUAUUCCCAUUGGUCCAUUUUAUGUGUAGUGGGAUGAUGGUUUUUUUUCCAUUUUCUGACUAGAUAUUUCCAUGCUACUAUUCACUCUUUGAUAAUUAAGAUAUUUUCAUUGUUUACAUUAUGACUUUACUGAAAACUUAAUCAUGGUGAUGUAUUUCAGAUGAAAAAAGGAAUUGAAAAUGUUUAAAAAAAUUUUUUAAUUUUUGCAUUGAGCAUUUUUGUUUAAAAGAAAACUAAAAAAAAUCCACAAACUCCACCCUCUCAAAUCUGAAAAUCUUUCCACAUUUCUCAUUUCUUUCUUCAGACCACCUGUAAGUUAAUUACAUUAAUGUAGAUCAGCAACAGUGCACAGAAACUUUUUACAAUGAAUAGUUUAGUUUGUCUAUUACCAGCUGAUCUGUAUUAGUGAUUAAGAAGUAGUUUGUAUUGUUUGCCAGCAGACUUCAAGUAACAAUUAAAGAUGGAAAAAAACAAAACAAAAAAA